RNAcentral lists this ribosomal RNA (252 nucleotides) under uncultured bacterium. RNAcentral describes it as "partial 16S ribosomal RNA". It matches the Rfam family "Bacterial small subunit ribosomal RNA", at positions 525 to 776 of the family's 1533-position model. The record is from RNAcentral.
ACGGAGGGGGCUAGCGUUGUUCGGAAUUACUGGGCGUAAAGCGUGCGUAGGCGGAUUGGAAAGUUAGGUGUGAAAUCCCAGGGCUCAACCCUGGAACUGCACUUAAAACUGCCAGUCUAGAGUUCUGGAGAGGUAAGGGGAAUUCCUAGUGUAGAGGUGAAAUUCGUAGAUAUUAGGAGGAACACCAGAGGCGAAGGCGCCUUACUGGACAGAUACUGACGCUGAGGCACGAAAGUGUGGGUAGCAAACAGG